RNAcentral lists this long non-coding RNA (233 nucleotides) under Elaeis guineensis (African oil palm). RNAcentral describes it as "long non-coding RNA (EGUI_LNC062556)". The record is from RNAcentral. Lineage: Eukaryota; Viridiplantae; Streptophyta; Magnoliopsida; Arecales; Arecaceae.
GUAGUGGACAUCCCAUGUGUUCUCCUUGCUGAUUUUUAUUUUUCUCUUGAGAUUCUUCUCCUCUUCUCUUCCUCCUCCAGAUAUUCUCUUCUUUUGGACCAUCCAAGGUUUUUGAAGAAGAAAGGAGAAAUCAGUCUCAAAGAUCCUUACAAGUUAGCACUUCUAAGGAGCCUGAUCUGUAUCGAUCUUCGUAUGGACAUUCUAUAGAGGUCGGAUGACUUUGUAUGGCUGCA